UCUUCCUACAUCCAUUUGGUCAUUGGAUUUGCUUUGUCCCUUGAUGAGGGAGACAGAUGUGGGCGCUAAACUCCAGGAGAUGCUCCGUUCCUUACCUGCAUCAACUCUCUCCAAGGCUAUCCUUAGGUCCUCCUCUGCCCGAAAUUUGGGAAGUCAAGACUUCCAGAAGCCUUCAGGCAGGAGUCUGCCCCAGGAAGCUGGCCUCAUGGCAGCUACUCUCCACUCUUCCCCAGCCUUUACCAGCCUUCUGUCACCACAACAUCCCCAAGGCCUGGCACAGCGCCAGGCAUGUGGUAUUGUUGAAUGUAACAAACAUGUAAGAAGUGACUUAAAACAAAAACGUACAGCUUAAUUAUCACAAAGCAAAAAUCCACAAAACCAUCACCCAAAUAAAAAUGGAACAAUGUCCCAGAAGCCACCUCGGUUCUCCUCCAGAUCACCUCCCUCCUGUCCCCCCAUAGUUGACCACUAGCCAGAUUUUUGUGGUAAUCACUCACUUGCAUUUAAAAAUUUUUAUCACCCAAUCAGGCAGCUCUUAAUACUAUAUAGUUUUUAGAGUCAAAAAAUGAAGUUGUACUGUAUACAUUUUGUAUCAGGCUUGUUUUGGUCAACAUUAUGUUUUGGAGAUGUGUACAUAUUGUGGCCGGAGUUCAUUUAUUUUCAUUGCUGUAUCAAUUUCCCUUGUAUGAAAAUACCACCAGUAGUUGUUUCUAGUUUGGGACUACUGCAGACAAAACUGUUAUAACCAUUAUUGACCACAUCUCUUGAUGUCCUUGUGGAAUUGCUGGGUCAUAGAGUAUAUGUACGCUUAGUUUUAGUAGAUAUGCCAAACUGUUCUACCUAGGGAUUAUAACAAUUUUCACUCCCACCAGUACUGUAUGAGGAUUCCUUUUCUCUACUUCUUUGCCAAUACUUAUCGUGGUUACUUCUUUUAAUUUUAGACAUUCUGGGUACUGUUCUGUAUGACUAUACUCCGAUUUGCUCAUUUUUCCAUUUCACUAAUUACUAAUGAAGUUGACUCCCUCUUCAUAUAUUUGCUGGGCAAUUGAAUAUUCUUUUUGUGAUGUUCUUAUCGGUGAUUCUUUCCCAUUUUUUCAAGUUGUCCAUCUUCUCCUUACUGAUUUGUAAGACGUCUUCUUAUACUGUGGAUAUGAGGCCUUUGCCAGUUAUGUGUGUUGUGAAAUCUUUUCCGCCAUGUGCUUGCUUUUUCACUUUCUUACUUAUAUCUUUUGAUGAACAAAAGUUCGUAUUUUAAUGUCCAAUUCAUCAGUCUUUUCCUUUAUUC
Kogia breviceps (pygmy sperm whale) is the source of this 1285-nucleotide non-coding RNA. NCBI's taxonomy places the organism in Eukaryota, Metazoa, Chordata, Mammalia, Artiodactyla, Physeteridae. The record is from RefSeq and is a predicted model, not a curated record.